UAAUACGGAGGGUGCGAGCGUUGUUCGGAAUUAUUGGGCGUAAAGCGCGCGUAGGCGGGACGACGAGUCCGGUGUGAAAUCCCUCGGCUCAACCGGGGAAUUGCACUGGAUACUGGCGACCUUGAGUCCUGGAGAGGGUGGCGGAAUUCCCAGUGUAGAGGUGAAAUUCGUAGAUAUUGGGAGGAACACCGGUGGCGAAGGCGGCCACCUGGACAGUGACUGACGCUGAGGCGCGAAAGCAUGGGUAGCAAACAGGAUUAGAUACCCUGGUAGUCCAUGCCGUAAACGAUGGGUACUAGUUGGUGCGGGUAUUGACCCCUGCGCUGACGAAGCUAACGCAUUAAGUACCCCGCCUGGGGAGUACGGCCGCAAGGCUA
RNAcentral lists this ribosomal RNA (377 nucleotides) under uncultured bacterium. RNAcentral describes it as "bacterial SSU rRNA". It matches the Rfam family "Bacterial small subunit ribosomal RNA", at positions 521 to 896 of the family's 1533-position model. The record is from RNAcentral.